AGCACCAGCCGGCAGGGGCGGACAGGAGGCCGACUUGGGUUUCGAAAUUAGACCUCCCUUCCAGACCAGCCCUGGUCCAGACUCAGCGCUGGGACUUGGGGACGCAGCCACCAUCCAAAUGAGGAAACUGAGGCUGGGCAAGAGUAGAUACCCUGUCCAAAGCCACGUGGCUGCGAGGUGACAAAGCAAGGAUUCAAAUCCAGAGCCACACAUUUACCCACCAAGCUCUCCAAGAGCUGAUGAAGACAAGCCAUAGGUACCAGCUGACUAAGAACAACUUACAGAAGAAACAUUUAACCUGAAAAGUCUUAUCCAUUUCCCUCUUCCACUUGGUGUUGGCUGGGCCUGAUUGAAAGAGCCAUGACUUGCCCCUUCGGAUUAUUUGAGGAAUGAGCAGAGUGUAUCUAAAAUGAAGCUUGUGAUGGACUUCCCUGGUGGCGCAGUGGUUAAGAAU
Long non-coding RNA from Delphinapterus leucas (beluga whale), 454 nucleotides. RefSeq lists it as uncharacterized. NCBI's taxonomy places the organism in Eukaryota, Metazoa, Chordata, Mammalia, Artiodactyla, Monodontidae. The record is from RefSeq and is a predicted model, not a curated record.